RNAcentral lists this long non-coding RNA (709 nucleotides) under Calidris pugnax (ruff). RNAcentral's name for it is "lncRNA (ENSCPUG00000004192.1)". Lineage: Eukaryota; Metazoa; Chordata; Aves; Charadriiformes; Scolopacidae. The record is from RNAcentral.
CUCCAGGAGUACCCUAUUGCCUGCAUGAUCCAGCAUCCCUCUCUAAACGGGACCCUGGUCCUUCCCAUGGACAGCCUGGCACAGGGUCCGGACAGCAACACGGCACCGGCCAUUGCCAUUGUGAUGGGGGUGCUGGUCCCCCUGAUUUCCCUCCUUCUUCUCGCCUGCCUCCUCUACCACUGCCUCAGGCACCUACGUGACCCGGAGAGAAACCCAGCCCAGCCAUGCUGGGUCCUUCCUGUCUGUACCAAGGCCGAGAAAUGCAGGCAAUACGGAGCCGUGGGCGGGAGGGCUCCCACGGUGUUCCCCAGCCCUGGGGCACCACUGAACACCUGAGCAGCGGCCCACCCUACACGCGUGAGAGAGAAACUUCUGACAAUGGCACCUCAGGCUUCCAAGCAAACCUGCUGUGACUUUACUUCAAGGGACAAAUACAAAAAAGGACAAUUUAUAACAUUUAUUUAUUUAUUUUGUUACACUAUAAUAUUCCGUUUGGUAGAAAAAAACUGUAAGAUAUUUAUUUGAGACUCAGACUGUCUGUGGGGAUCUGCAUAAUGAAACCCAUGUUUUGUAUUUUCUGGAGUUUUGAAAGUUUUGCUUAUUCUUUUCUGAUGUUUUAACACUGCAAGCUGAACACUGGAUGGGGUACCGUUUGACACAGGGCAUCAUUUUGUAGGGGUGCUUGCCUGGGAUGUGUUGCUGAUGGGUC